AAAGGAAUAGACGGGAGCCCGCACAAGCAGUGGAGUAUGUGGUUUAAUUCGACGCAACGCGAAGAACCUUACCAGGGCUUGACAUCCUAGGAAUCCGGAGUAAAGACCGGAGUGCCCUUCGGGGAAUCUAGAGACAGGUGGUGCAUGGUUGUCGUCAGCUCGUGUCGUGAGAUGUUGGGUUAAGUCCCGCAACGAGCGCAACCCUUACGGUUAGUUGCUACGCAAGAGCACUCUAACAGGACUGCCGUUGACAAAACGGAGGAAGGUGGGGAUGACGUCAAAUCAUCAUGCCCCUUACGCUCUGGGCUACACACGUACUACAAUGGCGCAAACAAAGGGGAGCAAAACCGCGAGGUGGAGCAAAUCCCAAAAAGGCGUCCCAGUUCAGAUUGCAGGCUGCAACUCGCCUGCAUGAAGUUGGAAUUGCUAGUAAUCGCGAAUCAGAAUGUCGCGGUGAAUACGUUCCCGGGCUUUGUACACACCGCCCGU
This 489-nucleotide ribosomal RNA is filed under the name uncultured bacterium. RNAcentral describes it as "bacterial SSU rRNA". It matches the Rfam family "Bacterial small subunit ribosomal RNA", at positions 903 to 1397 of the family's 1533-position model. The record is from RNAcentral.